RNAcentral lists this ribosomal RNA (115 nucleotides) under Acanthosepion pharaonis. The record is from RNAcentral. Lineage: Eukaryota; Metazoa; Mollusca; Cephalopoda; Sepiida; Sepiidae.
UUACGGUCAAAUCACGCUGAAAACACCGGUUCUCGUUCGAUCACCGAAGUUAAGCAUCGUAGAGCCAGGUCAGUACUUAGGUGGGGGACCGCUUUGGAACACCUGGUACUGUAAG